GUUCAGUAAAAACAAUAUGAACACAUUCACUGAAACACAAAGUCGGUGUCCACCACACGCUGUCGGCUUCAAGUCUCUCAAGUUGGCAUGUCCACCACCAAAUCCAGGUCUCCACUCUCAACCUUGUUUUCGUGAGCUAUCUCCUGCAUCAAGCACAGGUUGGUAGUAAUUGUAAUAACAAAUGAAAUAUAUAACGUCAGCACCAGAGAAUAAUCAGUCUGGGCUACCGUAGAUAACUCCAUCAGUCGUAAAAGGUAAAGUUGAUCAUACAAUAUCAGCGGUGACAUCAGAAGUUUGUGAAAUCGGAAGAUAUUUCCCGUAAGACACAUUUUGCGCACCAAAUAGUACGCGUUUGUUUCUUGUCUCUCAGAUCCUAUCCUGCGCGCUUAACAUAUGGUUACGUAGAGAAUGGUUUCCAGGUAACUUGAUAAUGCGUAAGUACAGUAUAGGUAGAUUCAUAGUACAUAAGUACAGUAUAGGUAGCUUCAUAGUACAUAAGUACAGUAUAGGUAGUUUCAAAGUACAUAAGUAUAGUAUAGGUAUGUUCAUAGUACAUAAGUACAGUAUAGGUAGCUUCAUAGUACGUAAGUACAGUAUAGGUAGCU
Long non-coding RNA from Haliotis rubra (blacklip abalone), 605 nucleotides. RefSeq lists it as uncharacterized. The record is from RefSeq and is a predicted model, not a curated record. NCBI's taxonomy places the organism in Eukaryota, Metazoa, Mollusca, Gastropoda, Lepetellida, Haliotidae. The transcript is spliced from 3 exons.